Molecule: long non-coding RNA, 536 nt
Filed under: Mus spicilegus (steppe mouse)
Lineage: Eukaryota; Metazoa; Chordata; Mammalia; Rodentia; Muridae
Description: lncRNA (ENSMSIG00000014953.1)
Source: RNAcentral
GUUGGCGCUGACAUUUUUCAGUGUUCUCAUUAAGGUCUCUUCCCACCAUCUCCAGGUUGGAAGGCAGCAAGCAAGCUGAAGUCGCAUGAAGGAGUGGUCCUGCGCCUGCUGCUCUCUCUGCUGAUCUGAAGCCACACAGCCCAGCAUGGCUCCCACUGCUUGACUUUCUGGAGUAACUGGUACACAACCUACAGUAAGAAAUUACAUGGAGACUGCAUGGCUGGCUUGCCACCUAUUUCUCAAUCAGCUUUCAAGUAAGUGAUUUGAAAGAAGGACAUCUUUCUUAUUAGUUCUAGAUUCUGUUUAUAUAGUGUUCAUAUUUAGUAUAUAGUAAGGCAUUUUCAUUUUAAGUUAAGAGAGUAUUAAGUAAUUAAGUAUAUCUUUGUGCCCUUCCAGUCUGCCCCAGCUCCGGGCCACCUGAACUCGGCGUACAGUCCCACGAUCCCCAGAGGACUCUCCACUUGAUCUUAGGAUCACUGGUGAGUUGAACACAACCUCUGUUCCAAAUCAGUUGUGACAGACCUGUGGCAGCAGGA